Molecule: transfer RNA, 68 nt
Filed under: Lyroderma lyra (Indian false vampire)
Lineage: Eukaryota; Metazoa; Chordata; Mammalia; Chiroptera; Megadermatidae
Description: tRNA-Val
Rfam family: tRNA
About the family: Transfer RNA (tRNA) molecules are approximately 80 nucleotides in length. Their secondary structure includes four short double-helical elements and three loops (D, anti-codon, and T loops).
Source: RNAcentral
CAAAGUGUAGCUUAGCUCAAAGCAUCUGGCUUACACCCAGAAGAUUCCGCAUACAACGGACACUCUGA